RNAcentral lists this ribosomal RNA (161 nucleotides) under uncultured bacterium. RNAcentral's name for it is "partial 16S ribosomal RNA". It matches the Rfam family "Bacterial small subunit ribosomal RNA", at positions 355 to 509 of the family's 1533-position model. The record is from RNAcentral.
UAGGGAAUUUUCGCAAUGGGCGCAAGCCUGAACGAGCAAUGCCGCGUGAGUGAGGAAGGUCUUCGGACUGUAAAGCUCUGUUGCCGGGGAAAAAGGGGAAAUGCAGGAAAUGGCAUUUCAUGGAUGGUACCCGGCCAGAAAGCCACGGCUAACUACGUGCC